Molecule: long non-coding RNA, 1434 nt
Filed under: Triticum aestivum (bread wheat)
Lineage: Eukaryota; Viridiplantae; Streptophyta; Magnoliopsida; Poales; Poaceae
Description: long non-coding RNA (TAES_LNC028308)
Source: RNAcentral
UCGUUGUAUAAGGCGUCCGUCGCCCUGGUGGCGGCUUCAAGGGAGGACGCAUGAUCCUCAUCGGCAUCGCACAUGGACAGGCCAUCAGAUUCAUCCACUUGGUAGCGGCUCCCAGGGAGAUAAUCAGCCAGCUGGGGCGGCUUGUUCAUACAGGUUUGACGAUUCAUCUUUUCAUUACCUAGUCUCUCAGGGAUGUCAAACGUACACCUCAACAACUAACGUCAGUGUUUAUUUUGUUCCGUAGUGAACCCCCUCGAUGAAUGCAUGCGCUGUGGCCAUGGCUAGAGAAAAUUCUACCUAUCGACGUCCUGUUAACCAACAAGAUCAGUAUCGGCUUUGAUAUGGAGGUAUUUUCCUUCACUGCGUGUUUUUUCUUUAUUCCCUUUACCGUACUGUAGUAGCAUUAGCUAAAUUGCAUUGAGAGAAUACGACGGCGCAACAAGCUAGGGCUACAAGAGAACCAACCAAAUUGCUGUAAUAGCAUGAUCCGCAAGGCUAUAAGGGAUCUGCACAUGACAUCCAUGGCUUCUCCUCCGCCUGCUAUUUGCCACUGUAGCACCGUUGACGGAUCCGAGUUCCACCUGCUAGGCUCGAAUGGUAGAUGUUACGGGCAACUGUAUGUGAAUCCCACUCCAAGGGAUCGCCCUUCACUAUUCCGGUGGACGCGGAGCUGAUGGCUCGCGUUUUUUCCUAGUCGUCCUACUGCACCCGCACAAGCAUCACCUAAGGAUAGGCUUUUUUUACUUUGCUCUAUGGACGAAGUCUAUCUUUUACGCAAUCCUAUUAAUUUACUAAAGUAUUUACGCCCCGUUGCAAUGCACAAUCAAUUUCCUAGUACAUGAAAAUAAUUUUUUUAUGUGCAGCGGAAAAUCUUGAGAUUCCUUUUACCAUGAAGCAAUUCGUUUUCCCUCUCAUUUGUUGACUCGGUUCAAGUUAAGCACUUAAGAGUGGCAAAAGCAAAAUAUAGCUGCAAGGGAGGCAAAGUUGCUCGGAUUGGAAAUGAUGGAACCUGAAAAUGAGGCAACGUAUCUACCACGCAGAAUAAAUGCAUAGCUGUCGGAUUAUCAACACAUUGUCAUUUACCACAACAACAUGAAACAACAGGAGUAUCUCGUCCCUUGAAGGGAUUCACAGUUGUACUCAGACUGCCAUUUUUUAUCUCACGUAAUGCUUGCCACUAAGGCUUUCUAAUUCAAUACAGUGUACACUAAGAGCAACUCUACCCCAUCCGAAUAAUUUAAUAGUUUAGUAACUCCCCAGAAAUAAAAUGAUAAGGAGCUAGACACAUCAUAUAUCUAACCUAAGCCCCUAAAGCGAUCUAUUUUAAUUAUUUUGGUUCCUAUUUUUGAUUUUAUCACUGUGUUGGGAGACACCUGGAGCUCAGGCUAGACGGAGCGACCAGGCUUUUCGGCCCACUCGUGGCCCGUUUUGUAC